This 72-nucleotide transfer RNA is filed under the name Desmophyllum pertusum. RNAcentral describes it as "Lophelia pertusa tRNA". It matches the Rfam family "tRNA". From Rfam's summary of the family: Transfer RNA (tRNA) molecules are approximately 80 nucleotides in length. The record is from Rfam by way of RNAcentral. Lineage: Eukaryota; Metazoa; Cnidaria; Anthozoa; Scleractinia; Caryophylliidae.
GCCCCGGUGGUGUAGUGGUUAUCAUGCAUGACUAGUAUCCGGGAGAUGCGGGUUCGAAUCCUGCUCGGGAUA